Molecule: long non-coding RNA, 1889 nt
Filed under: Vitis vinifera (wine grape)
Lineage: Eukaryota; Viridiplantae; Streptophyta; Magnoliopsida; Vitales; Vitaceae
Description: long non-coding RNA (VVIN_LNC005923)
Source: RNAcentral
CUCGUUUUCUUGAGUUCUGUAUGGUUUUGCUCUAAUUUUCUAUUGAUCGGUUAUUAAUACAUAUGAUUUCUUUCGGUUGUAGCAUGAGCACCGGUUUCUGAUACGUCUCACUGGAAUGAUUUCGGGUUCUGUUAAUUGGAUCUGAAUCCAUGUCUUGAUUUACUAAUCUUGUUUAGAUUUGGUUGAAGCUCAUGUCUGGGAUCUGAAUUCUGUGUAAAACUUAACGUGUCAUUGUCACAAUGGAAAUAAAUAAUAAUUAUAUUGGGAUUCUUCUAUUGGUUUGGUUUGAUAGAAAUUUCCCAUCUGGUUUUGGUGAUUAUAAUUAUACGGGUGCUUUUUCACUUUUACAUCUUCUUAAAUCAAAUAUAAGCUUGCUUGCAUAAUCAACUGAUGAUAUGAUAUUGGGAGUAGUUAAUUUUUGACUGGGAUGUAAAUCCAGUAGUUGGGAUUUUCUGUAAACGUUAAUGUGCAAUUGUUAAGAUGGAAAUAAGUAAUAAUCAUAUUGAGAUUUUUCUAUUGGUUUGAUUUGUUAUCAAUUUCCCAUCUGAUUUUGAUGAUUAUAAUUCUAUGGCUGCUUAUCCACUUUUACAUCUCCUUAAAUAUGUCAGAAAUUGAAUAUAAGCUGGCUGUUAACUUUGUUGCAAAAUGAACUCUGAUGAUAUGAUAUUGGGAGCAGUAAAUUUUUUGACCGGGAUGUAAAUCCAGUAGUCUGGAUUUUAUGCAAAAGUUAAUUUGUAGUUGUUAAGAUGGAAAUAAAUAUUAUUGUUUUUGUUUAAUUUGAUUUGCUUUUCAAUUCUGUUUUUAUUUUUGUAUUGAUGAUUCACUUGUACCAGUUCAUAAGCAUGUGGGAUAUUAAAAUGACAUGCCUUGAAUCAGCCCUUUUUGAAAAAUGUGAUGUUGAUGUGAUCUGUGGAGGAAUAUUUGAUCAAUUUACUUUCAACAUCUGUUUGUAUAAUUCAUAUCUAUUCCUGUAGGAUUUUUAUUCUAUAAAAUGUGAAUAGAAUUCAGUAUUCACUUGCACACCUUGUGUACCAUUCCAACUUUGUAAGGGAGAAUAAAAAAUCUGCUGGGAUUAGCAUGGGAGAUGCACAGGAAUGUAUGACAUGCAUGUCUAGGUGCAUUUAUGAAUAUCUCUGCAUCUAUCUUCAUGUGCUUGUACAUGUUCUAGAGUACGAGUAAUGUUUGUAUUCAUGCUUUAUCCUUUUUAAUCCGCACAAGUAUUCAUGCCUUAUCCUUUUUAAUCUGCACAAGUAUUCAUGCCAUUCAUGCCUUGAGAAUGGAUGUCUGAAAAUGAUUUGAUCAAUAGUUGAAAUAGUUAUUCUUAAGUUUCUAAUGUAACAGAUUUUUGUUGAUAUUUCCCUUUAACUGGUUGCUAACAAUCAAAGUUCACAUGGAUGGUUUGUUGUACUUACAAAGUUGUGAUGAACAUGAACAAAUUAGUGAGUGGGAGGAGCUUCCAGCUUCUGAAUUGGAAUACUGGAAUCAACUCAAAUAAAUUUGUUUGCAAAUAUUAAUUUCUAUAUCUACUUAAUAAAAUCCUUUGGGAGCUUAGAGCCAAUUAAUCUUUUCACAGUAGAUCCUCAUCAUGUCUUUUCUUUUAGUUUAAUGGUCAUUGGAUAUUCUUUGUUUUUCGUUUUUUUUUUUUUAUCCUUCCUCUCUUUUGAUGUUUUCACUUCCUUUUUCCUUGAUGAAACCUUCUGAUAAAUUCGGUGAUUAUACUCAAUACUUACUACAUGGUUCUUUGACACAGCUGUGAUUGACAAUAAAAAAGCUUAUUCAUAUUUAUUACUUAUUAUUAGUUCUGUUGGGAGAUGUAUGAACAAGAUCUAAUUGCUAUAAUAUAAGAUGAUACUGCCGUUUUUUUCCUGAUCUGUUGCUGAGAACAUAUG